RNAcentral lists this ribosomal RNA (322 nucleotides) under uncultured eukaryote. RNAcentral describes it as "partial 18S ribosomal RNA". It matches the Rfam family "Eukaryotic small subunit ribosomal RNA", at positions 1470 to 1796 of the family's 1831-position model. The record is from RNAcentral.
CCCUUAGAUGUUCUGGGCUGCACGCGCGCUACACUGACGCACGCAACAGGUGCCUGCUCCGAGAGGACUGGGUAAUCAUUUGAGUGUGCGUCGUGAUGGGGAUAGAAUAUUGUAAUUAUUACUCUUCAACGAGGAAUUCCUAGUAAGCGCCAGUCAGCAGCUUGCGCUGAUUACGUCCCUGCCCUUUGUACACACCGCCCGUCGCUCCUACCGAUGGGUGAUCCGGUGAGGCUUUGGGAUCUGAGCGGAAAGAGCGUUUCGCUGUUUCUGCUCGGAAAACUCAGUCGAACCUUAUCAUUUAGAGGAAGGAGAAGUCGUAACA